UACGUAGGUGGCAAGCGUUGUCCAGAUUUAUUGGGUUUAAAGGGUGCGUAGGCGGUUCCAUAAGUCAGUGGUGAAAUACGGCAGCUCAACUGUCGAGGUGCCAUUGAUACUGCGGAACUUGAGUACUGAUGAGGUAGGCGGAAUUGACGGUGUAGCGGUGAAAUGCUUAGAUAUCGUCAAGAACACCGAUAGCGAAGGCAGCUUACCAAGCAGUAACUGACGCUGAGGCACGAAAGUGCGGGGAUCAAACAGG
Molecule: ribosomal RNA, 253 nt
Filed under: uncultured bacterium
Lineage: Bacteria
Description: partial 16S ribosomal RNA
Rfam family: Bacterial small subunit ribosomal RNA
Source: RNAcentral